UGCAAAAAUAUUUAAUAAAUUUCAAUUGGUAUUCUAUUGUUUAACAGUGCGAUUAAUCGCAAUUAAUUUUUUUGAGUUAAUCCUGUGAGUUAACUGUGAUUAAUUGACAGCCCUAAUUAAAAUCCACUAAUUUGCACUGCUUAUAGAAUUCUCACAUGCCCUAGAUUUUAGUAUGAAUUAGGACAUUUAUGCAAUAUUAAGCAGUGUACAUUUUAAAACUAUUAAGAGCUGGUUGGAUUAAAAAUCUGGGCAAUUGGAUUUCAUCAAAGACCAAAGAUGAGAGUCCCUGUCUUAACCAAUGACCUAACACACUUCCUGUAAAGUGUCACAAUUGGCCUUGAAUCUCACUCUUUAGGGAUGUAAAUUUAACUCUUAAGGACAGCCAACCCUUGGCAUCUCUGCCUGGCAGAGCCUCCCAGGCCAGACAUGCCCGCCGUCAUUGCAUCUCAGUCCCAUCCAGUUGGCACCCCACUAAUGAGGUUCCUGCCAUGAGGCCACUAAUGGUUCCUGCCAUUCGGGGCAAGGCGCACACAAGGGAAGGAAAGGGGUGAUAGGAACAGGGCAGGGGAGAAGAGGGUAACAAUGGCAGAUGUGGAGUGACACUGAGCUGAAAGAGACUGUGAGGGAGAGGGAGAGUUGGAGCAAACAGCUAAUCAGUACAGGAGAAAGAAAUCCAGUUAAAACUGAAGAAAGUUCUGCAAAUAUCCAGAAGUCCCUGUUUUGGCUGCUACUGGUCCUACGCAUCUCUGAUUUACACUUGUUUUACGCUGGUGUAACCCCAUUUACUUCAAUGGAGAUAACUCCUAUUCAUACUGGUGCAAGUGAAAAGAGAAUCAAGUCACUUUUGUACUCAGGAUAAAAGACAUCAGAACUUCGGAUAACCAGGAGUUACAGAUAACUGGUGUUCAGAUUAUCAAAGUUGGACUCCUCCACAUUAAAUUGUGUUUUGCUUUUAAGGGACAGGGUAAUUAAGCCUCCCACCCCUCCAAAAAUUAAAAUGUAUAAUAAAUUGAUCUCUCUUGGACUACCCCAGCCAGUGAGCAUGCAUAAUCAUAAAUAUUAGUAGGAUCAGACCCACUGAAGUGCUCAUCACCUCCAAGAACAGGCUCCAAAUAAGAGCACCAAGCCACUGACGUUGCUUCAUAGCAUUAUUCCUAUAUUUAGCACACCCACAAGAGUUACCUUUAGAAAUGUAGUAGAGCGGAUCCCAUGCAAGACAGUCCUCAACAUGAAUAUUUUUCAACCUUUCUCAGGUCUGCUAUUUGACUGUAGGUCGCAUUGGGCAGUUAUCCAUGAUUAGAAUCCACUGGGUUUGAAAUGAUAAUAAGAGAAAUCAAUAGUACACCUCCAAAUUCAUGAAUUAAAUAAAUUAAAUUAAAGUGAUGAAAUUGUGCAAGAUUGGAAACAAAUUACAAAUAUAACAUAUUUUAGAAUUUUUAAAUGUGUAUAUCUUCCACAUUAUGUAAGAACCAAAUUUCCUUCUCUAAGUUUUAAAAACAUUGUGACUACUAGAUAUUGUAGUCAUAAUAACCAAAAUAAAUUUAUAAUUCUGUAGUCCCAUGCAACCAAGGAUCUCAAAGCAUUUACAAGCAGUGAAUGAAGUCUCAUAACUAUCCUGUGAGGUAGAUAAAUAUGAUUAUGCCAGUUUUGCAGAAGGGGAAAAGAGGUGAGAGGUUUUUCGCAGGAGUGGGUGGGUGAGAUUUUGUGGCCUGCGUUAUGCAGGAGGUCAGACUAGAUGAUUAUAAUGGUCCCUUCUGACGUUAGUAUCUACGAAUCUAUGAAUCUAUGACUAGUGUGACUGCAUUUGAGAAAACUAUAACACAGUGUGCAUCCACACUAGCCAUCUAUUUGCAGUCACCCAGUGCAUCAUAAUCCACAGCAUUCUCCGAAAGUGUCACAGGGGGUGUGAAUUGUUGCACCUAACUCACAUAGGUGCUGGGACUACGGGUAUGGGGGGUGCUGCAGCACCCCCUGACUUGAAGUGGUUUCCAUUAUUUACAGUUUACAGUUUUGUUCAAUGGUUCUCAGCACCCCCACUAUAAAAAGCUUCCAAGAGUCAGUGCAUAAUAACUGUGGUCUAUAUUAUUUGCAGUUCUCACAUUUUUGGUUCCUUCCAAUGCAUGAUUCUGUCCAGCACAAGGAUCCACACAUGCACCCAAAAGAACAAGAAAUAAGCCCUGGUAUGAUCUCAUGCUGCCAAUAUAGAUGCCAUGGCAGAGAGUCACCAACCUCCCUCUGAAGCCCUCAACUUUGGGCCUGGAAACCCAAAUUAUUAUGAAGAGCUCAAGGAGGAAACAGGGUUUGCUGCAGAAACUGCCUCUGAGGAGACUGGAUCAAACCGGUCUGGACUAGAACUUUCGCGACACAGAAGGCAUAAAAGGGCUGCACACCCUAUCAGGGGGGCUGUCCGUCUGAGAGGCAGCUAGUGACUGUCACGUUUGCGCGGGCAUCGAGGACUUCCUUCCCACCGAUCUGGGUAUCUUCCACCUGAAUCCACUUACCUGGUUCCUGGUUCCAGUGAUUGCCAACACCAGUGGUCUCCUAGUUCCUGGUUCCAACACAGUGAACGCCCUGAGCUCCAAAAAUAACCCAGGGUUUACUUAUUUUUUAUGGAGCAUGCGUAAUGUACUAGGUAUUGUACAAAACAUAGAGAAAAACAGGGUCCUUGCAUUCAGGAGCUUACAUAUUAAUUAGUCAAAUAAUGCUGAACAAAAACAUAAUACACUGGUUAAUCAGUGAGUAGCCUCAUCUGAGAGCAAUGCACAUAUCUUUUUUUUUUAAUAUGCAUAUUUGUCUUCAUUGGACUAACAUUGACAAGAGUCGUGAAAGACAUUUCAAAUGACAUUCUGCACAAGAAAGUUAUUUGCAUACUCAAUUUGGGUCAAGGAAACAAUAAUGAACCCUUAGGAAUAUUUAUAAUUUUAUUUUAGUUACAGCAUUUGUCACUUUGGGUGAUUUAUGGUGCUAAUAGGAUGAUAGGGUCCACAGUGUCUGUCAGCUGUAAAAGGCCUCCAUUAAAAGCAAGGCUUAAAGCAGUGUCAUUUUCAUGAUCUCUUGGAGAGUGCUUGGGCUAGAUUUAUGCAUGAAUUUAGUACUGGAUUGAAAGUCCUGGAGAAUGACGGUCCUUUUUUUAUCCAGUGAACAGGUGCAGUGACCUUCACUGGCUCAUUAUUGUGCUUCCUCUCUGACCCAAGGGGACCAAUUGUUCAAGCAAGCUUGCAACUUACUUUUCACGUACACUUAUUCUUUGCUGCAGUUUUCAACAAGGGUACCAAUUAGUCCCAAAUGGGAUGAUAUUUUUUGGAGAUUCAGACACCUGUCCAGUGGGAACAAGCCUGAGCCCACCUAACAGUCGUCAGACAGUGAAAACUUCAGGUUACUCACAGCUUGGGCUGGAUUUGAAAAGGUGACAUAGAGCUAAAGGGCUCCAGAGCCCAUUAACAAUCCCCUAAGUCAUUCAUUCCCACUGAGGGCUCCUCUUUUGAAGUUCCCAGGGGCACUCAUAUGACCUCUGUUUAUCUCCUCUCGUAAAAACUCUUAUCUGUCUUACACAGACCUCGCCACUUUUCCUAGUAGUACUCAAAACAGUUAUUACAAUGUAAACAAACUGUGCAUGCUGGUACUCAUUCUCAGUUCCCUUAUCAACUGAACAGCAUGCUCCUCAUACACAUAUUGGGUCAAAUUUACCCGUCAUCUAACUCCAGGGAUUUCAGGGAAGAUAUCUCUGGGCUCAUUUGCUCACUCACCUCCUGAGCAUACAUAAAAUAUAACAACAGUAUUGUAAACCACAUGUCUACGUGGCCCUUCAGACUACAAGAGUGUGAAAAGCAGCACACAUUAAUACGCUGUAAUUUAGGUGGAAACUAAAAGAUAGCUAGUUCACAUUAACAUAGUCCUCUUGAAACAGGACUAUGUGACUUUUAGUCUGUGUCCACAUGUGGUAGUUACAGUGCAGCAUGCAAGUGCACACUGUAGUUCACACCCCUAUAGUCUAUACUGUGGUGCUGUUGUCUAGACAUAGAAAUAGAAUUCCCCCUUGAUCUGAUGUGUCCUUGUUUUGAUGAACCUUGCUAUCCAUCUUAGACAUUUUAAGGAGCUAUCACCUUAGUGGUAUCUAAGCACCACUACAUGCAGCUCUCUGAUUACUGAGGGAUCCCGACUGGCAGGAGGCCAGUUGUCUCACUUCCAUUUUGGAAUGUUCCAUUUUAAUUAGGAUAAUCAUUCUUUUUUUAAAAAAGGUAAACAAAAUAACUGAAUCUCAAAGUACUGGGAGGUUAGAAGCUUUGUUGAAAUACAUUGGUAAUGAUAUAUGGUGUGAAGGGCAGAAUGUAAUACUGAAUGGGAACAAACUCACCCCAUACUAAAGUCAGGGGACUGUAUAAAUCAAAACAUUAGGGACUAAAGUUGAGAGCUAAACUCCCCAGCAGGACUUUUGUAUGGCUUCUUGCCAGCCAGGGGAAAGGUGCCUGCUCAGCUGAGAUGCUGGAAGAGAGGUUAGCUAAAGCUACUGGAAGGGCUAUGCCAAAGGAACUACCUGCUCCAACAGAUACAGACCAGAGCCCAGUCUGCUAAUACUAAGCAGGGGAAAAAGUUCUUCUCGCUACUGACACCAUAUGUCAUAGAGACCAGCUCUCUGAGUUGCCUUUAUAAAAAAAAACAGAUGCUAACUAUAAAUUAUACCAUAAGGGUUUUAUCCUACAAUAAAGUGAUGAUCACUGUCACUUCCUGAACUAUGCUACUUCUUCUGCAGUUGCCUUUUUUAAAAAAUCCUGCUUCUUGUGCCUCAGCUUCCAAUUGGUUAACCUGCUGCACCUGUGCUUCCAGCAGGGCGUGGCUAAUCUGGCCCAUGCAGUCAUUAGUAGCCUGGCAAUCGUCUACGGUAGCUUUUACACAGGAGUAAUGUUUUUGCUAUUUUAUGUUUUAGACAGAAAGCUGAAGGAUUAAAAAAAGAAAGCAAAAGCCUGGCCUGCCUUUCAUAUUACAUUCACCUUUUUCACUCACAAACUAACCGCACAAAACAAGAAGGAGAACUGAAUGUGGUAGAACAAAGGUCCCUAUCCACUGAUUCUAGUAGCUAUGUUACAACAUCCCCAUUGCUGGGCACCUACAUGUAACUAAAAUCCCUAGGGCUAACUUCAUCCCUCAUUAUUAACUUCAAGUGAGCUACACCAAGAAUAAAUCUGACCAGUAUAACAAAGUCUCAGGGUACAUUAGGAAUCCAGUGGAUAUAGAGACUGUUUUGUUUUUUCAUAAAAACAAUUGAUUGUUUUUUGUUGAAAAACCAAACACAUUUUGGCUGAAAACCAAAAAUUUGGGUUUAAUUUUUUAACAUGAAGUGCUUUCAGCAUAAAAACUUGUUUAGUCAAAAACCCACUUUUCCAUUGAAAAACAGUUUAUAUAGAAAAUGUUUGUCCAGCUCUCGUACUGAGUAAAGUCUGAGAUGGAGUCUUUAGCAGCAGUGUCUAUUUCAGCUGUUUCACACUCCUGGCUAGGAACACAGAUUAACGGUUUGUAAGCAUUACAACAAACAAUGAAUACAUGACUACAAUUAAGUGGUGGGGGGGAAUCAAGUAGUACAUAUAAUCAUAAAAAAUCACAUAAAAUUGGUCUGUUUAUUCUAGCAGAAGGGGGUUCUCUAAUUCACGAUAUGGGUGCCAGAACCCUUAAAUUUCAGCACUUCUCUCAGCCAUAUCACUUUAAAGGCAACGAACUGUCUUAUACAAGAAGUGUAUCAUGAGAAGUCCACGUAUUCUCACAGAGAUUUAGUCUUUAAGUCAGCUAACACUUAUGCAUGUGUUUAACUUUACAUACUAUUAGUUCCACUGAAGUCAAUGGUUUUUAUCAAGUGCCUGUCAUGCUGGUAUCUGAGCAUGUAUUAUUAAUAAUUUUUAUAUUUAAUUUGCUAAAAGCCUCCAUUAAAAACGUUUGGAGGUCCUUGGAUGGACUGUGUCACAGACAUGCAAUGUACUUUUAUUAAAUGACACUGUCAGAGCUUUUCUGGUUUAUUAGGUACCUUUCACAGAGACACCUUCUCAUUAGGCUGGAACAGAACAGCUCCCAGCAGGAUGACACAGCCUGUUUAUCAUUAGUCUUAAAUUUAUAUCUGCUUACCAUUCAUCUAUUUGAUACUACCUUUGAAUCAUAAUUUAAUGACCUUAUCUUAAAUGUUCUCUGAUACAGUGUCUCAAUCUCUCUUUUUUAUAUCUUUGUGUAGUUUCUUUUUUUGUCAUGGAACAGAAGGUUGGAUGAAUUGUUCCAGUGUCCAUUAAAAUUUCCAUUGCCUGCUGUGCAGUGUCUUCUAGGAAGGAGAUGAACCUGCUGCAAAUGAAAUCAGUUGAGGCUGCAUUGUAUUUAUAGAGCAGCAGAAAUCUUUGUAGAUUAUUUUUUCCAAGAAUCAUGAAUCUCCUUCAGUGUUACAAGUCACUGUAAUCAAUUAAUAGGAGUAAUAUUUUCAUUUUCAAUUAAAAUACAGGCCAUGCACAGUCUGUGUGCAUCUUAGCAGAUGUUUAAAAGCAUUGGCUCUCAGAGGUGAAAUGUUACCUUAUAUCUGAUGGGGGUGGUGAGAGGGUGUUUCAGGAGCAGAAAGACAUGUUAAAGUGCAGCACUUCAGACUGUCUUCUUUUCUGAAUUUACAGCAUUAGACUGGCAGCUGUAUAAAUGAAUGAUAGACUGCAAUGUUCUUUUCCAAGCAGGCUAUGAAAUGAGGGAGCCUUCAGUUUUGUGCUGAUGUGUCCAGAAUUCAAAUAAUUUGUUUCUUGGGUAUAAUGACAAUUGGAAGCACGGUAUUACCUUGAGAAAAGAGAUGGGAGAGACAGCUGCAGUACCCUGUACUCAUGAAAGAUAUUGCAUUAGCAACUGCUUCCCAAUUACUCUUUCCACUGAAAACUCUAUUAUGCUGGGCUCUUAUUGCCUUUAUUCAAGGGCACAAAAUUAAAAAGUGAUAUUGCUGGCACUACUCUCAUCUUCCUACCAUGACAUUGAAUAAUUGGACAAUGAAAGAAAAUGUUGAAUGAUGCUGAUAUUAAACACAUAUAAAGGACAAUGCAUCUGAACAUCAGCUGAUGAAGUAACGUCCACAUUAUUAUGCAUUCCCUUCUACUACUUUAAAAUAAAUUGUUUUUAUUUUU
Molecule: long non-coding RNA, 7127 nt
Organism: Chelonia mydas (Green sea turtle)
Lineage: Eukaryota; Metazoa; Chordata; Testudines; Cheloniidae
Exons: 2
Source: RefSeq, a predicted model, not a curated record